Molecule: ribosomal RNA, 448 nt
Filed under: uncultured bacterium
Lineage: Bacteria
Description: bacterial SSU rRNA
Rfam family: Bacterial small subunit ribosomal RNA
Source: RNAcentral
AGAGUUUGAUCAUGGCUCAGGACGAACGCUGGCGGCGUGCUUAACACAUGCAAGUCGAACGGAAAGGCCCUGCUUUUGUGGGGUGCUCGAGUGGCGAACGGGUGAGUAACACGUGAGUAACCUGCCCUUGACUUUGGGAUAACUUCAGGAAACUGGGGCUAAUACCGGAUAGGAGCUCCUGCUGCAUGGUGGGGGUUGGAAAGUUUCGGCGGUUGGGGAUGGACUCGCGGCUUAUCAGCUUGUUGGUGGGGUAGUGGCUUUCCAACGCUUUGCAGGGUAGCCGACGAGUGCGGGUGCCCUGCCCCUUUUUUUCCGGGAUACAGCUCUGACUCCGACUGCGGAUUCCACUGGCCGUCGUUUUCCAGGAAACAGCUAUGUCCAUGAUUCCGGAUCCACCUGGCCGUCGUUGUUCAAUGUAAACAAGAGUAUGACCAUUGAUUACCGGAUU